AAUAGAUACCCGGGUAGUCCACGCCGUAAACGAUGAGUGCUAGGUGUUAGAGGGUUUCCGCCCUUUAGUGCUGCAGCUAACGCAUUAAGCACUCCGCCUGGGGAGUACGGCCGCAAGGCUGAAACUCAAAGGAAUUGACGGGGGCCCGCACAAGCGGUGGAGCAUGUGGUUUAAUUCGAAGCAACGCGAAGAACCUUACCAGGUCUUGACAUCCUCUGCCAACCCUAGAGAUAGGGCGUUCCCCUUCGGGGGACAGAGUGACAGGUGGUGCAUGGUUGUCGUCAGCUCGUGUCGUGAGAUGUUGGGUUAAGUCCCGCAACGAGCGCAACCCUUGAUCUUAGUUGCCAGCAUUCAGUUGGGCACUCUAAGGUGACUGCCGGUGACAAACCGGAGGAAGUGGGGAUGACGUCAAAUCAUCAUGCCCCUUAUGACCUGGGCUACACACGUGCUACAAUGGAUGGUACAAAGAGCUGCGAACCCGCGAGGGUAAGCGAAUCUCAUAAAGCCAUUCUCAGUUCGGAUUGUAAGGUCCG
RNAcentral lists this ribosomal RNA (533 nucleotides) under uncultured bacterium. Its description in RNAcentral is "bacterial SSU rRNA". It matches the Rfam family "Bacterial small subunit ribosomal RNA", at positions 777 to 1309 of the family's 1533-position model. The record is from RNAcentral.